Molecule: long non-coding RNA, 2128 nt
Organism: Zeugodacus cucurbitae (melon fly)
Lineage: Eukaryota; Metazoa; Arthropoda; Insecta; Diptera; Tephritidae
Exons: 2
Source: RefSeq, a predicted model, not a curated record
UUAUAUUAAGGGUAUUCGUUUAAACGUGUAAUGUUACCCAUCGCAUAAAUUUAUGCAAAUACGCAGUGUGUUACAUGAACGCACUUCAAAUUCUUUGUGUAAAUGCCACUUAUUUAUGUAUUAAACAGCUGUUUGGGUGUCAAAAUAUUAAAAUGCCGAAAGUUAGCGAAAAAGCAAAAUUUAUUCAACUUUGCGAAAAAUCACUAGUAUUUGAUUUGUUAAUGUUGGAGCUGUUUGGAAAACAUGACGAAAUCCAACGCAAAAAGGAAGAUGAAAUUAUGGAAGACUUUAGCUUUGCAUUGGCAGCUGCUGCAUAUUUUAGAUAUGGAUCUACAUUUGUUCAUCAUUCUGUCCCAAAAUCACCCAACUUUUUAAUAGAUGUAUUACCGCAUUUGGAUGAAAACAGGUUUCGAGAAAUUGUGCGAGUCAGCAAAACCACAUUUGAUUUUAUCAUUGAUCUGAUAAAGGAUGACGAAGUGUUCAAUGGUCCACGUUCAUGUAAAUAGUUUCCUAUCUAAAUUCAAUUUGCUGUAGUAAUGUACCGACUGGGUUCAUGUGGAGAAGGAGCAACAAUUACUAAAAUUGCUAGUUUGUUUGGUAUUAGCGAUGGUGGAGUAAUACAUUUGAGCUAUUUACAUAUGUAUCGGUUAAAAUUUGUGUUUCAGCUGUAUUUUAAAUUUCUCAAUAGGUCAUGACCAACAGGGUAUUUGAUGCAAUUAUUAAAAGGAAAACUCAGUUUCUGUUUUGGCCGGACCCUGUAGAGCGUAGAGCUUUAGUUGUUCAAACACUCAGUGAGCUACCACAUUGUGUUGGCUACGUAGAUGGAACGGAGAUAAAAUUGGCGGAAAAACCCACUGUAGAUUGCGAAGCAUAUUUUUCUCGCAAGCAUAUAUAUUUAUAUAUAUUCUGGGAACCAGCAUUAACAACACCAACAAUGUCAGCCUUGAAAUCCAACGCAGAAUCACUCUUGCCAACAGGUGCUACUUUGGACUGAGUAGGCAAUUGAAAAGUAAAGUCCUCUCUCGACGAACCAAAAUCAAACUCUAUAAGUCGCUCAUUAUUCCCGUCCUGAUGUAUGGCGCUGAAGCGUGGACGAUGACAACAUCCGAUGAGACGACUCUUGGGGUUUUCGAGAGAAAGGUUUUGCGCAAGAUUUUUGGUCCUCUAAACAUUGGCAACGGCGAAUACCGCAGGCGAUGGAACGAUGAGCUGUACGAUUUAUACGACGACAUUGACAUAGUUCAGCGAAUAAAAAGACAGCGGCUACGCUGGCUAGGUCAUGUUGUACGGAUGGAAGAAAACACUCCAGCUCUGAAAGUAUUCGAUGCAGUACCCGCUGGAGGAAGCCGCGGAAGAGGACGACCUCCACUCCGGUGGAAAGACCAAGUGCAAAGUGACCUGGCUUCACUUGGUGUUUCCAAUUGGCGCCAAAAAGCAAAAAGGAGGAAUGAGUGGCGCGCUCUGGUGGAUUCGGCUAUAAUCGCUUAAAGCGGUUCCUACGCCAAAUAUAUAUAUAUAUAUAUAUAUAUUCACUUAAGGCUCAAUGUGUGUGUGACCACAAACUAGUAAUUCGUCAUAUGGUAUUGGGGUAUCCCGGUAGUGUUCACGACGCUAGGAUAUACAACAAUUGCGAGCUAUCCACAAACGCCACUGAAAUGCUAACAGGAUCAGAGUGGUUAGCUGCAGACAGUGCAUAUAAAUUAACUUCGACCCUUAUUACUCCUUUUAGAAUAAACGCAACGGAAGGCACCUUGAAUCAACGAAUUCUGUUCAACAGAACGUUCAGCCAGUACCGAAUAAGAAUUGAGCAUUGCUUUGGUUUAUUGAAAGAACGUUUUAAUAGCUUGAAAGAACUCAAAAUUCAAAUAAAGAGUGAUAAUUCGGUAAAGUUUGCAUGCCGGUGGAUAUUAGUUUGUGCGAUAUUGCACAAUAUUAUAUUAAAAGAAAACGACGGUGGUUUUGAUGUUGACGAAGAAAGCAUUAGUGAAAACAGUGAAGUCGACGAGCCUGGGGAUCAAAACUUACCAACAGUUGAAGGUGCAUCUAAGCGCCUUUCAUUGUUAUCACUAAUGGAAACUUAAAAAUAAAGUAUUGAAACUCAUGUUUACAUAUCUUUAAAAUCCAUUAA